This 916-nucleotide ribosomal RNA is filed under the name uncultured archaeon. Its description in RNAcentral is "bacterial SSU rRNA". It matches the Rfam family "Archaeal small subunit ribosomal RNA", at positions 1 to 923 of the family's 1478-position model. The record is from RNAcentral.
UUCCGGUUGAUCCUGCCGGAGGUUACUGCUAUCGAGGUUCGACUAAGCCAUGCGAGUCGAAUGUAGCAAUACAUGGCGAACUGCUCAGUAACACGUGGACAACCUGCCCUUAGGUUGGGUAUAAACCCGGGAAACUGGGUAUAAUACCCGAUAGGUCUCGAUUGCUGGAAUGCAUCGAGAUUUAAAGCUCCGGCGCCUAAGGAUGGGUCUGCGGCCUAUCAGGUAGUAGUGGGUGUAGCGUACCUACUAGCCUACGACGGGUACGGGUUGUGAGAGCAAGAGCCCGGAGAUGGAUUCUGAGACACGAAUCCAGGCCCUACGGGGUGCAGCAGGCGCGAAAACUUUACAAUGCUGGCAACAGCGAUAAGGGAACCUCGAGUGCCAGGUUACAAAUCUGGCUGUCGAGAUGCCUAAAAAGCAUUUCAUAGCAAGGGCCGGGCAAGACCGGUGCCAGCCGCCGCGGUAACACCGGCGGCUCGAGUGGUAACCGUUAUUAUUGGGUCUAAAGGGUCUGUAGCCGGCCGGAUAAGUCUCUUGAGAAAUCUGGCAGCUUAACUGUCAGGCUUUCAGGAGAUACUGUCUGGCUCGAGGCCGGGAGAGGUGAGAGGUACUUCAGGGGUAGGGGUGAAAUCUUGUAAUCCUUGAAGGACCACCAGUGGCGAAGGCGUCUCACCAGAACGGACCUGACGGCAAGGGACGAAAGCUAGGGGCACGAACCGGAUUAGAUACCCGGGUAGUCCUAGCCGUAAACGAUACUCGCUAGGUGUCGGCCACGGUGCGACCGUUGUCGGUGCCGUAGGGAAGCCGUGAAGCGAGCCACCUGGGGAGUACGGCCGCAAGGCUGAAACUUAAAGGAAUUGGCGGGGGAGCACCACAACGGGUGGAGCUUGCGGUUUAAUUGGAUUCAACGCCGGGA